AUGGGGCUCAGUUCUAGUAGCAAAAGAAGAUGGGAGAAUAGGCCUUGGGUAUAACUAUCAGUCUCUGCAAUAGGCGGCAAGAUGGUGUUCACAAAGGCCAACAUUUUUCAUGGCGAGAUGUCUAGAAUUUGAACUUUAGAAUGAUCCUUCUGGUCAAUUUAAAUCUGCUGUGAAGCAAGUUGCCCACCUACAGGACAUGGAAUGGAAGGACAUGGAAGAUACAAAUAGAGUCGGACAAGAAAGACUUUACCUAACUCUGGAGGAAUCAGCUUUGAGGAGACCUACAAAGGUUUUACAGAUGUGAAAAUUAAGAAACAGAGAGAAGAGACUAUUCAAAGCAGUUGAACACUGGAUAAGAGCUGGAUUUGAGUUUGACAGCCCUGAGUUCCAAUCCUGGUUCCAUCACACACUCGCUAAAUGACCUUGGCAAAGUAGUUGACUCUCUGUGAAUCUCUCUUAAGGCCAUUCAGGCUAACUAAGAUUUAGUUACCUAAGUUUUAAAAAUUAACCAUGUAGGCUGAGAGUCUACGCA
Molecule: long non-coding RNA, 532 nt
Filed under: Homo sapiens (human)
Lineage: Eukaryota; Metazoa; Chordata; Mammalia; Primates; Hominidae
Description: HSALNT0352954
Source: RNAcentral